GACGAACGCUGGCGGCGUGCCUAAUACAUGCAAGUAGAACGCACAGUUUAUACCGUAGCUUGCUACACCAUAGACUGUGAGUUGCGAACGGGUGAGUAACGCGUAGGUAACCUGCCUGGUAGCGGGGGAUAACUAUUGGAAACGAUAGCUAAUACCGCAUAAUAUUAAUUAUUGCAUGAUAAUUAAUUGAAAGGUGCAAUUGCACCACUACCAGAUGGACCUGCGUUGUAUUAGCUAGUAGGUGAGGUAACGGCACACCUAGGCGACGAUACAUAGCCGACCUGGGAGGGUGAUCGGCCACACUGGGACUGAGACACGGCCCAGACUCCUACGGGAGGCAGCAGUAGGGAAUCUUCGGCAAUGGACGAAAGUCUGACCGAGCAACGCCGCGUGAGUGAAGAAGGUUUUCGGAUCGUAAAGAUCUGUUGUAAGAGAAGAACGGGUGUGAGAGUGGAAAGUUCACACUGUGACGGUAGCUUACCAGAAAGGGACGGCUAACUACGUG
Molecule: ribosomal RNA, 505 nt
Filed under: uncultured bacterium
Lineage: Bacteria
Description: partial 16S ribosomal RNA
Rfam family: Bacterial small subunit ribosomal RNA
Source: RNAcentral